RNAcentral lists this ribosomal RNA (621 nucleotides) under uncultured bacterium. RNAcentral describes it as "bacterial SSU rRNA". It matches the Rfam family "Bacterial small subunit ribosomal RNA", at positions 202 to 842 of the family's 1533-position model. The record is from RNAcentral.
AAAAACUCCGGUGGUAUGAGAUGGACCCGCGUCUGAUUAGCUAGUUGGUGAGGUAACGGCCCACCAAGGCGACGAUCAGUAGCCGGCCUGAGAGGGCGACCGGCCACAUUGGGACUGAGACACGGCCCAAACUCCUACGGGAGGCAGCAGUGGGGAAUAUUGCACAAUGGGGGAAACCCUGAUGCAGCGACGCCGCGUGAGUGAAGAAGUAUUUCGGUAUGUAAAGCUCUAUCAGCAGGGAAGAAGAAAGACGGUACCUGACUAAGAAGCCCCGGCUAACUACGUGCCAGCAGCCGCGGUAAUACGUAGGGGGCAAGCGUUAUCCGGAUUUACUGGGUGUAAAGGGAGCGUAGACGGCUGUGCAAGUCUGAAGUGAAAGCCCAGGGCUCAACCCUGGGACUGCUUUGGAAACUGUGGAGCUAGAGUGCUGGAGAGGUAAGUGGAAUUCCUAGUGUAGCGGUGAAAUGCGUAGAUAUUAGGAGGAACACCAGUGGCGAAGGCGGCUUACUGGACAGUAACUGACGCUGAGGCUCGAAAGCGUGGGGAGCAAACAGGAUUAGAUACCCUGGUAGUCCACGCGGUAAACGAUGAAUACUAGGUGUUGGAGAGCAAAGCUUUUCG